CAUUAUCUUCAAGGCAAAGGCAUCGCGUCCAUGCGCACUGAACUCGCGAGUGGAAUCGUCAUGGACAGAUGAGGGCAGAGACCCGAACCGUUACAGUGGCGUCAGGCUAGCUUCUACCGUGGCCCUGAGCAUGUCCCUAGCCAGGCCGAGGCCCAAACUAAACAACGCACGCUUUGGGCACGCUUCUACCAACCAUAGGUGUCUGAACAUGAGGGACCUAGGUUCAACAUUAUCUUCAAGGCAAAGGCAUCGCGUCCAUGCGCACUGAACUCGCGAGUGGAAUCGUCAUGGACAGAUGAGGGCAGAGACCCGAACCGUUACAGUGGCGUCAGGCUAGCUUCUACCGUGGCCCUGAGCAUGUCCCUAGCCAGGCCGAGGCCCAAACUAAACAACGCACGCUUUGGGCACGCUUCUACCAACCAUAGGUGUCUGAACAUGAGGGACCUACAAACAGAAAAAGAGAGAGAGAGACUAGUGUCCCACCAGUGACACUGUACUGGCUUCUGCAACCAAAACUGUCGGUAUUCAACGACCUUUGUCUCUCCAGUCCUGGGCCGAGCACCAACCAAGCAAACUGUCAGUCCACAAAACUCCAUUACGGGAAAUCAGGAUUCAGUUCAGGGAACCGUCUUCCAACUCGUCCUCAGCAUCCUGUUCCUCUG
Acanthopagrus latus (yellowfin seabream) is the source of this 662-nucleotide long non-coding RNA. RefSeq lists it as uncharacterized. The record is from RefSeq and is a predicted model, not a curated record. The transcript is spliced from 4 exons. Lineage: Eukaryota; Metazoa; Chordata; Actinopteri; Spariformes; Sparidae.